AGAGUUUGAUCCUGGCUCAGAAUCAACGCUGGCGGCGUGCCUAACACAUGCAAGUCGAGCGAGAAAGGGUAGCAAUACCUGAGUACAGCGGCGCACGGGUGAGUAACACGUGGGUAACCUGCCUCGAAGUGGGGAAUAACACCGGGAAACCGGUGCUAAUACCGCAUACUCUGACGAGAUCUGCGGAUUUUGUCAGCAAAGGAGCAAUUCGCUUUGAGAGGGGCCCGCGGCUGAUUAGCUAGUUGGUGAGGUAAUGGCUCACCAAGGCUACGAUCAGUAUCCGGUCUGAGAGGACGGUCGGACACACUGGAACUGAGACACGGUCCAGACUCCUACGGGAGGCAGCAGUGGGGAAUUUUUGGCAAUGGGGGCAACCCUGACCAAGCAACGCCGCGUGGGUGAUGAAGUCUCUUGGGACGUAAAACCCUUUCGACAGGGACGAAACCGCAAGGUUGACGGUACCUGUAGAAGAAGCCCCGGCUAACUCCGUGCCAGCAGCCGCGGUAAUACGGGGGGGGCAAGCGUUGUUCGGAAUUACUGGGCGUAAAGGGCGCGUAGGCGGCUCACUAAGUCGGAUGUGAAAACUCUGGGCUCAA
Molecule: ribosomal RNA, 596 nt
Filed under: uncultured bacterium
Lineage: Bacteria
Description: bacterial SSU rRNA
Rfam family: Bacterial small subunit ribosomal RNA
Source: RNAcentral